AGUAGGAUGAGACUAGAUAAUUAUAUUAAACUUGAGUAGUUGUAAUAUGAUUACUUUGUUCAUAUAUGUUAUGAAUGAAGUGUUGAUAUAAUUUAAAGUCGUCUUAAUUAGUUUAAGAUGAGACUCUAAAGAGUUGAAUAUGAAAGUUUUUCUGAGAAAUUUCAUAUCGAGCCUGUAUAGUAGCCGAACCUAAGUACUCAGGUUAGAGAGAUGACUUGAGCUGUGAUGGUUAAAUACCUUGGUGGUACCUAGACCAAGGUUCGUAUGGCGUUUUUUUUAGAGCGUGACAUGACCCAUUGAGUAGG
Molecule: long non-coding RNA, 305 nt
Filed under: Ananas comosus (pineapple)
Lineage: Eukaryota; Viridiplantae; Streptophyta; Magnoliopsida; Poales; Bromeliaceae
Description: long non-coding RNA (ACOM_LNC022006)
Source: RNAcentral